Long non-coding RNA from Dipodomys spectabilis (banner-tailed kangaroo rat), 169 nucleotides. RefSeq lists it as uncharacterized. The transcript is spliced from 3 exons. The record is from RefSeq and is a predicted model, not a curated record. NCBI's taxonomy places the organism in Eukaryota, Metazoa, Chordata, Mammalia, Rodentia, Heteromyidae.
AGGAGACGUAUGAAGAGAUAUACAAAUCAAAAAACGGAAUAUUCCAAUGCUCUUCAUCCGGGGAGAUGGCAUUGUGCUGGUUGCCCCUCCUCUGAGAGUUGGCUGAAACAAAGAACUUAUCGUAUGCAGAAAGUAGGAGGCUGUACAACUGCAUCUUCAAAGAUACAGA